This 29995-nucleotide long non-coding RNA is filed under the name Gallus gallus (chicken). Lineage: Eukaryota; Metazoa; Chordata; Aves; Galliformes; Phasianidae. The record is from RNAcentral.
AUUCACUCUAAAUCCUCAUGAUGAUUCAUUAUGCUGUUGCUGAGAGGUGACAGUGACGUUUUAAUGCAUGUUGAGUGAAAAUCGGGUGUGAGAAAUGGCACUGGUACAGUAGUUCUUGCAGUCAUUAGUACUCAUCUGAUUGUGGUUUUUAUUCAACAUGAGCUCAUUCAAAAAACCCUAGGAAUUUAAAGAGAAUAUUUUUUUAAAGAGAAAUGCACAACUUGAGUAGCAUCCACACUAACACUCAAAAGUGUUAUUACUGAUUCUACCUCUAUAAAUUCUAGGGCAGGAGAGAACUUAACCCAGAAUUUAAUUCACUGGAAUUCACUACAGCUUUCCCUAGCAUUCCCCCUUCCUCCCCUCCAAGAUUAUCGGUGAAACUAUCAGUUAUUGUACAAGGAGUUGUUUUGCUUUGUGGGCACCUGUUUGGUGAGAACUGCUGUCACAUUUUUUCAGUUACUUCUGAAAAAGUGUAGAACCUGUUGCCUCCUGUUUUAUAAUGUUGGCCCACAAUGUCAGAGGCAGCUGUGGGAUGGCAGCAGAGGCUGGACCUUCCCACCAGCAUUCCAUGGCAUGUUGUUGCUGUGUGACAGAUGGCAGCAGAGGGGCACUCUGACAGAAUAGCGCCUGACAUGGAAGUGCGGGUGGAGCAAACGGAUGGAACUGAAUUCCUCCACGUGGAAAAUAUUUCAUCCACUGGCAUUCAUUGAUGUUUGUGAAAGUUUCUGAAGACUGAACAGUGGGUGUCAGCAUUGUGAAGGGGGGUGGCACGUUUCAGCAGUGGCAGCAGUGACAGUGGUCGUCUCCACUAGUGCAGGUUUGUAUGAGCAUGGCAUGCAGGCUCUUGUUCAUUGUUGGCAGAGAUCCAUAGCUCAUGGUGGUGACUAUGUUGGAAAAUGGUGUUUCAUAGCUGAGAUCGUGCUCUGUCAAAUAGCGGUGUUGUGCUCUUUGUAUCUGUUAUUGAUUCCAAGGAAACAUACAGGAAGCAUUACUUUCAGAGACUUGUGUGUGUGUGUGUAUCUUUAUUAAUACAAAGCAGGUGAUGCAAAAAACAGUUGCUCACUGCCCACUGACUGAUGUCCAAGCAGUCCCCAGGCAGCUGUCCCCUCAGCCAACACCCCCCAGUUUUCAAAGUUUUGAGGUUUUUGUUGUUGUUGUUUUUGUUUGUUUGUUUUUGUUUUUGCUUGAUGUCACAUGGUAUAGAAUAUUCUCCUGGACAGGUUAGGUUAGCUGUCCUGGUUCUGGCCCCUUUCAGCAUCACAUGAGAUGCUGGAAAAAAUAAAAUAAAAAUUCAUUUCUCUCCCAGUUGAAACCAGGACAGGGGCCAUAAGUUGUGAGUAAUUUUCAGAAUAUUCUUCUGGAACCACUUUCAAUAUAGUGUUAAAUUUUUUAGAGGAAAUGUUUUUUGUUUUGGCUUUUUAGCUUCUUCCAAGGUGUUCAUGCAUGCCCAGUGGAAUUUAACUUAUACCUUUGUUUGAAAAAGGAUAUUAAAAGACAUAGUUGCACGGUACUUUGUGUGAGCUCACACAUUUUAUUUGUAUAUAUAUUUGGUACUUUUAGAUAUCGCUAUUCAGGAAAUAGUGUUAAAAAUACCUGAUAUCAAUGCUGUAGAAAAAGAAAAAGCACAAUAGCAGUCUGGCCAUGUUGACUAUGCUGUGGAUCAAAGAUAGCUGUAUCUUCUGCGAUGAAGAUGCUUAAGUGAGGGGAAACUUGUGCAAUCUUCAGUUGGGUUCUUCUUGUAUCUUGAGGAAGAAGACAAAAUGUCACGAUUUUUGUGAGUAACAGCUCUGGAGCUGUCAGGAAGAUGUUGGAAUUGAUCUUUAAAAUAGAUCUCUGUUACCAUAUUUAGAUAUUAAAAAAAACCACAAACACAGCACCCAACUCUGAGAGUAAUUAAGUUGUGUGUGAAAUGUAGUCAGAUUUUUUUUUUAGCACUUCUUUUUUUAAGUCUUGACACAGCUAUUUUUACUUCAUCUGACAAAUUAAAUCAUUAUUGCUACUUCCUUUACAUUACUGAAUCUCUGCUCAUCUCUGAAGUGUAUGUGAGAAUAUUUUCUCUAUUCAUUGUAUAUUUUUUCCAUAAAGAAUAAUUGCCAUUUCCACAGCUGAGCAUCACAAACAUCAGAAGCAUCCAUGAACUUCGCAUUUUUUCUUUUUUCUGUAGAGCUGUUUCAGAAAGUCAAAAAACUUGAAAUGAAGGAAAUGAACGUUUUAGAUUGUCCUUGAAAAGGAAGUCAUGAAGAAUUCUGCAAAGACUGAAUGUUUUUCUGUCACAUUAAAAAAUAUAUUCCAAAAGACAACCUUUAAAUGUAGUGAAGUAUUCUAAGUAUAUUCAUAUGAAUCUGUUCCAUGUACUUGAGCAUUUAUUAAAAAGACAAAGUAAUACUUAUACUAAAUCUUCAAACAAAUCACUCUGAUAAAGUUGGCUUUUUAUUUGCCAUGAUUGUGUACAUUUUUAAGAAUGCAUAUUUGCUCUGAAAUAAUUUUAAUAAUAAUAGUGGUCAUUAUCAGUUAUCAAUGAAUAGAAAUUUGAUAAUUUUUGAAUAAAAUAUUAUUGCACUUGCAAGAGUUGAAAACUUCUGCUGGAAAUUCUGUGCAGCCAGUGCAUUUUUUCCUGCUGUUUGUCCUUCAGUGCUGGGACUAUCAACAGACCUCUGUUUUGCACAUUCUAAUUUUUGAAAUUUAAGGCCACCAAUGUCCACCUCUGACACUGUGGGCCAACAUAAUAAAGUAGGAGGCAUUAAUUUGGAGCAGCUCUUGUUUAUCAUGUUAACUGAAGAGGGAGAAAUAAGAGAGGAGGACAGACUUGACUUAGAGAUCUGCUUUUGGAACUGAGACAGAUAACUUGUGUGAGGUGCCUCCUGCAGGAAGAAGUAUGGGGAUAUUGUUAGAAACACAUUCUGAUGUGGCUUAGCAAGUAUCUGGAUCACGUUGCAUUUGGAGUUUGGUAUUGUCUCUUGGUUGUUUAUGCUGUUUUGACUUGGUGUAACCUAAUUGCGUCUCAGCUUUUUGGGUAGAGCCACAGAGUGACUUUCAAACAUUGUGCUGCAAUUUACUUAUGGGCCAUAUAACUAGUGCUAUCUGCUUCUUCCUUUUCUGUCCUGUUAUUCCCCAUUAUCUAGAUCGAAACUGCGACAAGUCCUGACAGUAUUCAUGAAAGUCUGCCAGGCAGGCUUAGUAACUGUUAAUUAUGAUUUUAACAUCAUACUUCUAGAUGAAGACAGGAGAUGCUGCUCUUUUUUUGUCCGGUAAUUGUAUUGGGUCAUCAGUAACGAUAAUAAGAUUUGAGAUUCAUGGCAGAAUAAGACCAAAGUAUUUCAAGGAUUGGAGCUUCUGCUGUGUUCUGACAUCAGCUUUCAUAAAUGUGUGUGUGCUUGACAGCUACAAGGCAGAGCAAAGCACCCAAAUAUGCCAUAGACUUACUAUAAAAAAAAAAUGGAAUUUUUGAUUCUUUAGCUAUGCUGGCAUUCUAUAAAUUAUUUUCGCUCCCUAAACAAGCUUUGGACACUUCAAAGUAGAUUAUAGCUGUAUCACUUCAGCUAGGCACUGUUCUACCUUUGACAGUCUUUUCAUAUAUGCUUAUUUUCUCUGAAGCUUGUUUUGGAUACAUUGUCUCGUAUCUUUAUGAAGUUUGAAGAGAAUAAAAAUGUGUUUGUACAUGCUUUGCCUUUCAUCUAAAAUAUUUUUUUAUUUUAAUUAACUGGCUAUUCCUUUUUUUAGUUCCUUCUUACAGAGGAAAAUACUGGGAUGAGAUCAGAUGAUUAACUUCCCAUCACUUAGGUUCAAAUCUGAAAACUUCUGGAAAGUAGUUGCUGCAAAUGCUUGAGGUUGGGUACACAAAGUUAUAAGCUAUUCUUAGAAGUCUUUGCAGAAGAAUUUUCUGAAUUUCCGUUUAUAAGCUGCACCAGUUUCUGAACUUCAUAGAAGUGUAUUAUUGAACGUGUAAGAUGUUGUAUAACGUAAGUCAUUGUGAGAUCUGUGAAUAAUUUGAUUUUAUCCACUCACCAAUUGUUUCAUUGAUUUCCUUCAAUCGUACUCAUGUACAGCUUGUAUGCAACAUGACAAUUAAUGUUGCAGUGACAUUAGUGACAGUAGAGAUGCAGUGUAAUUUAUUAAGGAAGCAAAAACACCCAGCACAAACACACCAUGGUUUUUGUUGGCCUUACAGCAUGCAGCAGCACAGAUCCCAGAAUGAAACGUGUUGCAAACAGACUGUGUUCCACCUUUGAGGGACUGAGGCUGCUGCUUUCCUGAAGCCACAAGCAAGAGACUUGUAUGUGAGAAAUAGGAGGUAAUUAAUCUGUGCUAUUUAGUGCUAACGAGGCAGAAAUAAUGUUCAGUUUUGGGAGUCGCACUGAUAUCCAACAGUGUCAAAGAUGUUGACAAAUUUCAGAGCAAAAAGUGCAGAAACACUUUUGAAAUGACGACCUGUGAAGAAAUGUUAAAUGAGAUGGGUUUAUUAAGACUGGAGAACUGGAUAAUGUGGUUCUUCAUAGCUUAACACCUCGAUCAGGCAAGCAGUAGUAGUCAUAGAAUCAUAGUAUCCUUUGAAUUGGAAAGGACCCCUAAAGGUCAUCUAGUCCAACUCCCCUGCCAUGAAUAUGGGCAUCUACAGAUAGAUCAGUAGAAAGCAGGCUGCUGGUGCUGCUGCAGCCAAGAGACAGCACAGGAGCACCUCAAUGCAGCUAUGAGGUUAGGCACCAGUGCUGGGAUGCAUGUUUCUUAAUACGAGGGAUGCAUAUUGCCUGGUUUUAUGUUGCUCUGCAGCCAAGGCAAUACUAACCCAAAGCUGCGAGGACCAUAAGUUACCUGUUGGCAGGUGAGUACCAGCAUGACACCUCUGGGUCCAUGCUGGAGAAAAGCAAACAGACAUGACCUCCCUAAACAAGAACAGUGCAAAGUGGCAGGCGUUUAUCAUUGGGCGGGCAGUGAUAUAAUACUCUACUGCCUAUGCGUGUAUUCUUAUUCUUCAUAAAUGUAAUCUGAGUGGAUUAGAAGUAAAGUUUACCAAAAGCUGAUAAAACAUUGGAAAAAUGAAAUUGAUUGAAACAAUCAAAAGCCAAACAACAACAAAAUCAAUGAACUUAACUGUGAGACUGAUAUGAUAUUUAGAGAGUCAAGGUCAUUUGUCUAUAUAUUGUAUAUUAUUAGAGAAGUUUAAUGAGUAUGAAUAGUAGAGCACUUUGACAGGUUAACUACAGAGGUUACGGAAUCUCUUUUUUUAAGAAUAGAUUUGAUAAAUAUCUGUCAGAUUGUCAACAUUCUGCAUUUCUUAAGUCAGUACUUGGAUAGUCUUUUACCAUCUAUUCCAGACCUCUUUCACUGGUGUUAUGAAUGAUACCCAAAAUACUACCUUUUUUUCAAAUUAAAGUUUUCUUCCUUGUUCUUCCCAAAUCUUUCCUUCAUUUUUUUCAUCUUGUAUGAUUAGUUUUCUGAUCACAUAUAUAUUUUUUUUGUCUCAACCAAGUAAAUGUGGAAAAUUGUUAAGAAAAAACUAAUAAGCAGAGAAGUAAAAGACUGAAGAUAGUAAGGAGAAAUAAUUGUCUAAUUACAGUAUUGUGUGUGCAGAAUCCAAAGUGAAUGCUCUUGCUGUGAUAGAAUGAAGUGCUGCAGGAAGAAGUAGGUGUAGUAAAGAGGAAAGCCAUGAAUAAAGUGGGGGUAACAGAGCAGGUAAGGGGAAAUUCAGAAAAACCGUGGGAGUUGAAAGAAAGAAAAAUGAAAAUGGGAGCUAAGAGAGAGGCUGACAAAUGGGUACAGGAGCUCAAAGGGGACUGGAUUGGAAGAGAAUUUUUGGAUCUGGGGAGGGGAAACUGUGAAAUAACCUAGAACACUAGUUCAGAGAAGGUAGUAGAAAUGGGAAAGACAAAAUAGCAUUGCCUGGGGAGAGCUCAGUAAGAGCACUGGUACUGGGAAGAACAGCUGAAGUGUUGAAGGAUUUUGACAAGAGAUCAGGAAGUCAGAGGAGGCAAAGAAUUAACAUCUGAGACCAGCAGACAGAGUAGUGUCAGAAGCAGGGGAGCUCUACAAAAAGCUUUUCAGACCCUCCAGCUAGCUCCUAUUCUAGAGAGAUUCUUGCCAUCAGCACUACAGCCUACUUUUCCAGGCUGUGGUUAUUUAUUCUUAAGUGUUAAUCUGGCUUCUGUAACCUUAUCUGAAAAUCGUGAUUUGAUCUCUUGUUUGUGAGAUAUUACUCUUCAUAAUUUUAAUAAACAUUCUUAUCCAUUGCAAACAUGUAGGAGAAAUCUUGUUUACCUUCCAUUCCUGCAAUGAAAAAUUCAGAACUCUUUGCUGUGCUUUGCAAUGUUGUCUAUUUUACUGUAUUCAUGUGAGACUUCACUUUCUAGAAAUGUAAUGUUCAUCUGGUUUAUGUUUCUCUAAAUGAGUUAAUAACACUCCAAUGCUGUUUACAGUUUGUGCUUGAGUAGAAUUUUUCAUUGCUUUCCUGCUUUUUAAGUAGUUAAUUGAGUUCUGAGGGUGAACAAUCUUCUACAUAGAAAUAAAGCUUGAAAAAGGAGAUGCUGAGAAUGAAGCCCAGAUGCAUAGCAGAUAUGCAUCAUCUGGCAUAUUUGUAGUUUCAUGUGUAAGAGAAGUAAGCAUAGGCAAGCUGGAAUUAGUUUGGGCGUAAGACUGCUACAGGAGAGCAGGUGUUGGGAUUAGAAAAUAACUACAAUGACUAAGGAUGGACUGAAUACUAUACCAAAUACAGAACGCCAGAAGACUGUUCAAGUGUACUUUUGUCUUAAUAUAUGAACUUCCUACUACUGACUAUUCAUCAAGUUGGUAAGUGUUAGGCUCCCUUGGUAAACGUUAUUUUUCUGUUUUCUGUUGCAUAUUUCAGCAGAAGGUUUAGUAUUUCCAUCUUAAGUGCAUGAGAUUCAGCUCUGCACUUGAGAAGAUCAGCUCUGAGUCUUUCCAAGGAUGCUGCAUUACUCUGCCCACGAUUUUUACAUCUCCAGUGAUCUGUCCCUCCAGUCAACAUAUGGGACCUUGCAGUCCUUCUUACUCUUUAAAACUUUUUUGUGCCUCUGUGUUAUGGAUUACAAAGGAAAACUAGCACCUCAGCCAUAAAAGAGAUUUUUUGAAAUCUCUGUUAAUAUAUUGGGCCAACAGAGAUAUUCAGAAAAUGAUUGUCAUUCAGAUAGCUUUACUUCAUAUGGUAAUUGAGGAGGGAAAUGCCAUUUUUAAUUAUUCUUGGAAACAAAGGGAUUUACUCUUCACUCAGUUCUUUGUGGCUGUAGUUAGUUAUUUAAGGGCUUGAUCCUUUCAUUCUGAACUUGUCUAUUUAUUUCAGUAAUAUAGCUGCAUUUCAGCUUUUAAUUGUUCUAAAGCAUUAACUAUGUGGGAUGCUGUACGAAGGUUCAUGAAAUGGGUUACCCAUGUGGGCUCUAAUGUCAAUGUUUCAUCAGGAGCAUAGCAUAAAUUGUGUGGUCAAUUUCAGUUUGGAAACAAAGACUGCUUCUGGUGAUAGCUAAGAUUGCCUUGUAAAGCCUAGGACAACUGGCAGGCAUUUGGAGAUGCUUGGGAUAGAGAGGGAGAAGCUAGUUUGUGUCAUUACAGUUCUGCCCAAUGAACAAGCAGAGGCAGGUGGGUAGGUUGCUAGGAAUUGCCUAGUCUGUUUCUUCUUGUUUAAAAUUUACUGCAUUAGUAUUUUCACUGUGUGCUGGGCAGAGAGCAUGCAAAAAAGGAGUAGAAAAGAUGAAAAAUUACUUAAAUUUAUCUGAAAAAAGGUUGUAGACCUUUAGUAUUGAAUUGCGGUGGGGAAUCUUCAUGAGGAAAGACAAAUUGUAAAGGAAAAAGUGCAAACAAUCGUUAGUAUUUGAUCAGUCGUGAAUGUGCCUUUAUGUCUUCAUUCUUAAGUAAUGUAAUUUUCUACCGUUUGGCACUAAUUUUGCCCCAUGAAAUUCUCUGUUCUGCAUAAAGGAAUGCUGUCUGAGCAAUGUAAACAGUCAGCUGUAAGACUGAAUAAUUUGAGUUGAACUUCUUUGGCUUUUGUCACUUGCUAAUAAUUCUUCACCGUGCUUACAGUGCCAGUAUUUUGAAUGAACUGGAAUGGUAUAAAACAACACAUUUUUGAAAAUAUAUUACAGGUAAAAUUAGAUGAAACAGUGUUAUCAUUCCUAUGAACAUGAUGAAAUAUGUAAAAGAGAGAAAUUCUCAUUGGAAGGUAAGAGUAGUUAUUCCAAUUACUUUGCUCAGGGACUGAAAUUCAGUACUGCAAGUGUCAACGGUAUAAGGGCUGGUCCGGCCCGGUUCCGCGACUAGUGGGGCGGAGGGAUUUCACAAAAUCCACACCUCCAGGAAGGGAAACGGGGGACCCCAAAAUAAUUAAAAACAGCGGCAACGAUCUGAGGAGAAACAAACUAAUUUACUAAAUAUAGUAUCGGAAUGUAAGAUAACACACAAUAAUACAAUAUAAAUCAAAAAUAAUUGAGAAAAAGAUUGUCCAAGAGCCAAAGGCCUUACGCUAAUACUGAAGCCUUGCGUGCAGUCGGGUGCAGCAGUAGCGAGCCGAUCCAACAGGGAACACGGCGAGACGAGAAGAGAGGGGGCGAGUCAGAUGACCUGCGCCCUUAUAUCUGUUCCCUUGAGCAGGAAUGAUAACAGUACUCGAAAAGGCACCUGGGGAACGUAGUUCUUCUUCUCUUCCAGACAGGUACCUGGAACUAAAGCAUUUGCUCUUUAACUCCCAGUACACUGAAUGAUGUUGUGAUGUGGAAUACUGAUAACCAAAAAUCAUAAAACCAUGACAGCAAGAAAUGGAAUAUCUACCAAAAAGCUGAAGAUGAAAUCUCUGCCAUUACAGAUGUUGAAGCUGCAUUAUUUGCGCUUGUAUAACUUACUUGUAUUGCUUUAUAAAGUAAUAACUGUUUGGGGGAUUUAAAAUGUUUUUUGUAUUACUGGCUUACACUUUGAGGCACUUAUUCUUGGCCUUGGUAAUGGUUCCCAGAUUUGAGAAAAACAAGAAAAUAAGUGAAAAAUUGUGAUGGGGAGGAAAAUAAGACAAAAGAAAGAUUGCACAGCUAUGGAUAUGGUUGCAAGACCCUGUGUCUAUUUGCUAUUAACUCAUUUGAAGUUAUUCCACAGGACAGAAAUGAAAAUAUUCUCACACAAUUUAGUAGAUGCUUUCCCUUUUUGUCAUGCCUUAAGUUCACCAGCUGUUUCAGGUUGUGCCUAAAUGCCCUGCUAACAUCUGCAGGCUGUAAUGUUUUGAUGAAGGCAUAAAUUUCAGAUCUUCCUCAUACUGUUAUUUAAUCUCCUUGUUCAUGUUUUGAUGCACAGGUACAUAAUUAAUAAUUUUGAUAUUUAAAGUAUUACUGCAGGUCAUGUUUCUCAGAAUUAUUAUUUGAGAUCCAACAAAUACAUAGGUAGCUGUCAUGAUACUCAGAUCACUUUUACUCAGUUCACGCUUCAAGGUUAUCUCAGUAACUACAGCUGGCAAACACCUGUACUGAAAUCUGCUAAGACAGAUGGGUGCCUGGGAUCAGCUGAAAUGACUGUUAGCAGCCUUGCUCUACACCAGAAUGAAAACCCUGAAAAUAAAGAGGAAGCUGGAGAGGGUGGCAGACAACCGAGCAACACAUCCUGCUCCCACCCUGACUUUCUUUUGAAGAUCUAUCCAAAUUAGUUUUUAUAUGAUACACUCUAAGCAGGCAAAUUUGUUGUUAUUUCUAUAUGAUAGAUUUGAAAAAGAGAUAUUUUGAAAUACAUAUUUUAGCCUGGUUUAUCAAGGAUCUUGAAGUUGUUGGCUGAUUUCAGCUGUUUUUUUGUAGUGGGCUACAGAUAUACAUUCAAAUUGGCCUAGUAUUUCUGGAUGCUCUUAGUAUGGAUCUCUGGUUUACACAAGCACACCUGCUCAUAUGAUAAUUGUGCUGCAAGGGGCACAGGCAUGGCUUUUCUAAGCAAUUCUUUUGGUAAAGUGGGCUGCUUGCUAUUGCUUCAACUUCAGGACCUGGCCAGCAUGUUUAUGCUGCACUGGCUGUCACAAUGGUAAUGUCAAGGAAUGGUAUGGCUUUCUCCCCUGCCCUGUCUGUUGAGCAAGUGAAUGAAAACUUUCCUGCUGUCAAUUUGGGUGGGAGUCAAAUCAGUGAUUCUAUUUUAAUAAGUAGCUUUCUCUUUGUCUGUUCUCAGCUCUCCAUUGCAUUCUGCCAUUUUUUGAUCCUCCUGUCAUAUUUACAAGCUUUCUUCACAUUUGUGAGAGUAAAAAUGCUAUUGGGAAAUAAAAGGCAGAUAUGUUUGCUAGAAUGCUGUAUUUUGGAGGCAGAAAAAAAGUACAAUGUUAUUAGGAGAACAUUCUUUCCUUUUCCUAUUUAUAUGAGACAAAUUCUGUACGCUGCUGCCUGAAGGAUAGAGGUAUGACAAGUAAAAGCUCUCCAGAGAACAGAAGCUGAAAAUGUGGUAUUUGUAUUACUGGACAAAAAUAAGUACAGUGCAUGGGUUUGCACACACCCAUGAAUGGGCUGCAGAUGGACUGGGGGUAGUGACAGGCUGUGUCCUGCCCUGUUUGUACUGUGUGGUCAGGGUGCCAAUACAGCCAAGUAAUAAGCACACCAGAUCUUCAGCUCAGGGUUAUUAGUGCUGCUCUGUGCAUCAAUUAAGGAAUGCACUACUGAAAGCAACCAACGAAACAAAAAGCUCCAAACUUAAUGUGAUAAUCCAUGGCUGGAAUCUAGAGUGAAAGCCAUUUAUUGCACUAAUAGUUUUUAAUUUGUCUAACCAGUGCUGCUGAAGCAUUUUGUGUUUGGCAAAACAAACAAACAAACAAAACAACAACAAAAAAACUGGCGCAAUGGUGUAAUUGCAUACAAACUAAUUAUUUGCACAGAGUUUUGAUUUAAAGACACUAUUGAAGUGCUUGUUGCCAAAAUGUUUUUAAAAUCAGCACUGAUGCAAUUUUACUUGUGUUUGCAGUUUCAGGGAUGUGUUUCCCAGCACAUGCAGAUCCACAGGGUAUCAUGCAGUGUGUGUGCCUAGCAAGUCCACAGCUACACUUGCUUCUGUGCACUCUUUGAUUAAAUGCCUAGGUGAGAUUUUCAAAGGAAGCUGGUAGAAUCAGGUUACUUAUGUCAGUGUUACACUUUAUGUGGAGAAGGAAAUCUUUUGUCUUCUCCACUCAUCUUUCCACCAAGAAACAAUUUCCUUAGCUGUAGUGUGGUAACUUUUCCUUUUUGGGGUGGUGUAUCAAUAAGUAAUAAGUAUAUAAUUGUAUGUUGUUUAAUCCAAGAGCUGGAGAGUAGUGUUUGACUUAAUGUGCAAUUACUGUGUGCUGGUUAGUGAAAUUUACAUAUGAAACAUCAGGAAGUGCUUUUGCCAGUAGCAAGUGGAAUUAAUCUUAGUAAAUCACCAGAAUGCAUUUUCAGAGUGGUGACCUUGCUUUAUUGCUGUGGUGAUGCUGUUAACAAUAAGAUCUGAGUUCUGGAAGUUGGUAAGAUAUAUAAAGCAUUAUCACUUUCCCCCUUGGAUCUUAGAAUUAGUAGGCAGCUUAUUAUUAGAAAGUAUUAUUUUACUCUAUAAAUGUUUUCUGGGUUGUGCAUGGAGCAUCCAUCACAGGGGUUCUAUGUGUUUUACUGUUCCUGUGUUGCACCAGUGAGCUCCAGUGGUGGUACAGUUGUCAUCUCAUACUAAAAUCAUCCCACAUUGUGCUUCCCAAAAUGCUCACAUGCAGCAAGGAAUGAAAUGACUGUGCUAUAUUGAGGAGCACAAAUGUGAGCUCACUGGUGUGGCUGGAUCAACUGCUGCUGUCUUUUUCCAAAGCUAAUAUUGUUGGUAUAGAGGGAAAUCAGGAGCAUUGAGCUGCCAGGGAUAUUCCAUGCCUUCCUCCUUGCUGUGUUAUUGGGCACAGAUCCUGAUCUCAGGGGCUACUUUCUUGUGAAUUUGUGUAUUUCAUUCAGAAGUGGCAGUGUUUGUGCAUUCUGAAUGCUUCUUUCUUCCCCUCAAAGCCCUCCAAGUGUUAUGAGCUUCAUUUGAACGCUGGUUAUUAACUACCUAAAACCUGAAAUACUCUUGAAUUUAGAAAAGAUUUUAUAACAUUUGUAAACAACAAUAAGUGGGGAAAAAAGGUAAAAUUGUAUGUGUCAUUCUGUUUUCUACCACAUGCGAUUUGCAGUUCAAAGUGAAUAUAUUUAAAUAAACACCCCUGCAGCUACUGUUUACAGUAGCCUUCAAAGAAUGAUGAAAGCUUUUAAAUAAUGUAGAAUAUUACGUGACUUAUUUUUCAAAACACAUGCACUGCUUAUUUUGGAGUGAAAUGUCUGUGCUUCAGAUUAGAUGGAUUACAGACAGCUGCUGCAUUUACUGACUGUUACAGAUGGAAGAGAAAAUAAAUGUAGGGAGAAGAUGUAGAAAAUGAACGAUUCUUAGGAGUGCCUUAUGUCUGAACAGCAGUAGCUUAAAGGCAAAUCAAAUUAUCUCAGACAUCAUCUUUAUAGAUAAGAGUAUCUCUCUCUUAGAAGAGGGCGAAAAAUAGAAAUGAGAAACAAUAUAGGCUCUCUGGUUUCUUAUAUGCAUAUUUACUGUAAGUUUUCUGGGAGAAGGGAUAUGCUGCUGGUUGUAUCAUCGUCCUCACUUCCCUUCUACUUACACUACUACCCAUUGGCAGCAUCUAUAUAUAGCCCGUGUUGUUUUACUGAGUAAGCCUUUAAGUGUUGAUAUAACAAAGAUAUUAAGAAGCAUUUAGCCGUUUCUGUGUUCAACUCUACAUUUGCUCUUUUUAGCCAGCAAUUUCUUCUCUGUACUGACUGCUGGUUAUAUACUUAUAUCUUGGCUAGCUGCAGGAUAAGUAGUGGGGACACUGACUCAGCUUCAUGCUGAAGGUUGACCAGCCCCACCUGUCUGGAGAGGUUUUGUAUUUUUACUAAUCUUAAGGCUAUCAAAAUUACAUCACUUAUACUAUUAAAGACAAAUUAAAGUUGAUUUAAAGCGUGUCUACACAGACCACAGUUGUUCCAGCCUCGUGAAAGUAUGAUAGAAGAUGCAAACAGAAAAAGACCAUGAUACAAGCUUGUGGAAAACCUAGGAAAACUUUCUAUUUCAGCUCAGCUAUUGGAUGAGUUAUGCCCUGAGCACAGAGCUGUACACUUCUCGUUUCCUUCUUGUGCACCAAAAAUGGCUUGUAUUUUCCACCACACUUUUGUCUAUGAUUUUAUAUGUAGUCAGCAGAUACCACUGCUUAAUGACAUCUGGCAUAAACUUAUUUAUCAGGUUUCCACUUGUUUUACUUCUCAUGCUUUGUGAAGGAGAAGGUGUAUUUGAAAGGAAACACUCUGAUCUCUCCUCUGUAGGAGUAGCAGCUCCUCUCUUUUAAGUUCCUUUUCUCAGUGGCUAUUCAAGUUUGCUGAUUUCUGUGAUACUCAGUUGUCACUGAGCAAGAGCUGUAUGUCCUUCUAAGCAUCUUAAAUAGAAACAAAAUGAAAUUUCUUUGAGUUUUGUAAACUCACUGUUUUGACACUAUUGUCUUUUUCCUAACUUGAUAUCAGUUCUCUCCUAGUUAUUAAAAUGAACAGAGACUUACCAGUUGUAGAAACUGUGCCUCAUCUCUAAGAAGCAGAGCACAGGAUACAUGUACCAAGAUGAGCAGGACUAGUGGAGGUUCUUCUCACGUGAAAACAUAACAGGUCUUGUAGGAAAUGCUACAAUCAGUGGAAAACAAAAUUGAGGUGUAUACCCCAAAGCCUCUUUAAGGACUGCUGUAAGGGUAGGAACUUGUUCAGGGCUUGCUGCUUUUAUCUCCUUUGCGUGCUUGUUUUGCUGGGGCUCAGAGGACAAUGUGCUUAUGAAGUUUUAUCAUGUGUGUGCUGAAUGAAGCAGAGCUUCUUCACUUAAUUUUUUUUUUCUUUCUUUUUUCUUCUGGUCUAGAGGCUCCUGAGGCUUAGUAUUUAGGGGCUUUUCUUCAUUAGAAAUGAGUGCAUUUUGGCUUCCUUAGUCCUGCUAGCACUUCUUAUGUUGAGUCUUCAUGCUCUCUACUUAAACAUGAACUACUACUAUGUAUACUACUGUGCAGCACGCAACUGGCAGAUGGUAACAGAUGCUUGGUAGUGUCCUGGCUUGCAGGUGCACAGCCCAGGCUGACGUCAGGUGGGUACCAAAUGUAAAUCACUGCCACUCUUACGAAUGGCUCGCUCCUCUCUCUUAGGAAAAGUUGUAUUUGACAAAGCAGUAUGAGAAAGCUUGCUCCACCACCCUGUGCACAUUUAGUCUGCUUGUUGAGCUGUAGACAGAGCAGUUAUAUUUUAGAAUUUAUCAAUCUAUACAUAUAUUUUCCAGCAUAAACUUUAAAUUUUUUUUUAUUUAAAAGCAGGUGUUCAGAAACAGUGACAGCUAAUAUUCUCUGGAAUCAGAAUUGAAAUUGGUAGAUAAUAUUUUCCUCUCUCAGAAGUCUUCUGAUGAAUAUGCAGGAAAAUCUCCAUUCAUCAGAACACCCAUAUUGCAGAAGCUGGAAAUAACUUCCUGUGCUAUUCUUGUAAAAACUAGGUUGGAUUUUGGAAAUAUUCAUCUCAGCAGGGUAAAAUAGCCAGUAUGUAAUGCUCUUCUGUAGUGUUUUCAUUGUUGCCUUAUUCCCUGAUGCCAGGAGUAGUGCAGAAGAGAGGAAAAUAUUCAAGAAAUAAUAAUAAAAAUUAAAACCUUGGGUUUUGAUAAAACUGAUAUGUCAAACAAAGGUGAAGGAAUUUUUCUUUCGAACUAUGAAUUAUUAUUUUUUUCAGUCCCUUGAGGACUGAUACUUAAAAUCAGAGCCCCAAGGUUUAUACUUAACCCUAUGCUAGACCAGCAUAGGUUUUUUUUAUGCUUAAUUCUUUUUCUUAGCACCCAACUGUGAGUAGAGCUUUGUGCCGCUCUAUGAAUGUACUUUGAAUCUGAAGUUGGUUCUUCAACAAAAAGUAUGUUCACGUACUCAGGAUAUUAAAAUUUAAUGUUGUCCUACUGUUGUGGUUUUAUGAUUUUUAUUAUCGAUAUUCCACAUUAUCAUAUCAUGUAAUGCACUGUGGGAGUCUCAGAAGAGAAGAUAUGUACUACAGCUCCCAAAAAACUUUGCUGUUCUGUUUCUGUUUUCCAGUCAGUAGGAAAGGUGAAACUGACUGGAAGUCACGAGCCUAGCUCUCUUUGUUCCCUGGUGGAUCAGACUAAGAACCUCAGUUUUCAGAAACUCUCAUUUUAUUUCAUUUAUUAGCUUUCAUCUUGAUUAACUUGUACUUCUGCUAUUAUAGUUAGUGAUCUGAGGAGAAAAGGUAAUUUACUGCUAUUUGUUUUUUUUCUUUCCCUCUUUGUUCCCUUCCCUCACCACCAUUUUGGGCCGGUGGGCCUGCUGACCCUGUCACAGACACAGGUGGAUCUAGAGAUAACUGUGGCACUUACUGCCUUCCGUGGACUUGGAUAAAAUUUGUUUUCCCUUUUAUGCCUUUCUAAAGUGAGGUUAGCGGUAUUGUACUGCUUAUAGAAAUGUUCAGUAGAAACAUACACUAAAGAUAUUAACAUACACGGAAGCAAUAUAUUCCACCUUGGGCUAUAGAUUCAAUGUCAUGAUAAGACAAGGAGACAUGCCGCGAUCCCUUUUUCAAGAAAUAUCAAAACAGAUUUAAAUAAACUUGAAUUGAGGAAAUACAUUCAGUCAUUGGCUUCUCCUGUACAGUCACUUUUAAAAAUAAAUACAUUCUUAGAUAAGAUUCCAAAAGUAGUAAUACUUAUUAUGGUAUGUUCAUUCAUUUUAUUUUGUCCUCCAAACUCUUCAAAUCUUGAUAAUCUUCACAAAUAAAGCCAAGAUUAUCCGUGUUUAUGCAUUUACUUUUUGUGUUUUCUAUUAAAUGAACAUUGUUAUAUGAAAGGACUGUUCUCUACUCUGAACCUACAGGUCUCUGUUUAAUUGUUUCUUUCUGGGAAGAAAACAAAACCUUUUUUCUGCUAUAUGGUGUGUAGUAGUCACAAUUUAAGAAUUGCAGUCUAUCACUUUAAACUAUUCUGUUGGCUUCAUAUGUACGUAAGUAGUGGGGAAAACAGGUCUUUGGGAAUGAAAAAUUAAGUCACAUGAAACAGGUGUUUUGACAUGGCAUCAAAAUAAUACUCACAGGAAAGGAACCAUUUUCUGUUUAAUCUUGAUAAAAUAUUUUUCUUCCAAAGCAGAAGUUACUGCUGAGAAAACUUGAAUAUAAGCCUAUUUAAUGUGAUAAUUAUUGAUUUGCGUAGUUCUAGUAUGAUAAGGCUUUAAGCUGAAAAAUUACACUGUAUUUCACGUGUUUCCAAGUCUAACAGAGUUAUUUUAUAUAUAAUUAUGCCAACAGUACAAAGGCUUUUAUUAAUGUAAUUAUUUCAGUCCCUGGAUUUACAUGUGUCUUAGAUACACAAAGCUUUCUGAUUAUAAAGUGUAUUUUUUGUCAGUGCUGUAAAAUUUACUCUAAGAAAGGGUGACAGUUGAAAUGUUUUUUGUCGUGUGAGAUGACUUUUUGAAGCUGGGUGAUGAAGGAAGGAGUACAAGGAACCAUGCUCUGAGCUGAAGAGCGCAGAAAUGUGGUAGGACAAAAUUAAUGCUACCAAAAUAUUCAGAAGAGAAUAAAUAAUAUUUUCAUCUCAAACAGCAGAACUUUGUAGAAGUGCUUCCUUUAUUGGCUUCUGAAUAUUUCUGCAUUUGGCAUUUGGUAAAAAUGAUAAUGGCUAUUGCCAUGUAGGUCUGUGAAACCCGUGUCCUCUCUGCAAAGAGGAGACACUUGAUAGUUUCUUUCAGAAGAACUGAAUAGGGAUAGAGAUUUUCAUCUAGGAAUGGGAAGAACUACUUCUGUGUUCUUCAGUGCAGGCCCAUGAUAAUUUCUCUUCAAGUCAUUUUUUAGCAAAAGUAGGAGAAAGUUUUUGGCAAUUCUUCUGCAGGCAACUUCUUGACUGAAUCAGGCUAUCCUUAUGCUUUCAUAUUUUAGAGAGUAGCUCUUCUAUGCUGCUUAUACAAAAACAAUUAUUUUCAGGAAAAAAAAUCAUCACACCAUGAUUAGAAUAGGAAAUGUAUAUGUGAAUGUACUAGGUUUUAUUUUGUAAAACAAUGAAGAACCUCAUGAAAAAUACAUGACAAAAAACCUGUCCUAAAUACUUAUGCAGUAAGUCUGUGUUGUCUUCUCUGAUGUGAAGUACACUACCCUAGGGAGGACUAUGAAACUUUAUCACCUAGAAAGAAAAAAUCUUCCUUUAUUCAGUUCUCUCUGUCAAAUAAUAAUAGAAAUGAGCUCUCUUGAACAUAAAUGGGUAUUAUGAAUAAACAGACCCACACAUCAUUGAAAUAAUGUUUGAUGUAUCUAUAAAUACCAGGCAAAGCUUAGGCUAUAUCAUGGAAAUGGCACAUGAGCUGAAAAUAACAGCUUAGUUUAAUGGAAGAAUAUUUCCCUCAAAGCAUAUUAUUGAUGUGAAAUCAUUGAGCGUAGAGAUCUAUCUUCACUGAGCAGAUGGUUUGGUCUUCUUGUCAUGUUUUGAACCUCCUCUGAAACAUGUAUAUAUGUUUGCAUGUGUACACACCCACAUACUUUCCCUUACUUGAAGGUUCCUGAGUUAAACUCAGACUAAGUGGACCUAGAGGAGAUGCUCUUAAUCUAUUUAACAUCUCACUCUUAUCUUUCUCCACUAUCUUUCUAUCCAGGAUGAGAUCUCUUUAUAUCAUGGUUCUUAAACUGGUGAACAGACUUUACUGUGGUAUCCUGUUGCUGGUCACUUGCUGAGAGGAGAGCAGGUGGGAGAGGAGGGAGGAGCACUGUGGGGAAAUGCAGGAGAGCCUGUGGGGUGACCCAGUGCUGCUGCAUACUGGGCUGGAGAACUGUACAAAGGAAAGAGACUUUCUGGUCUAUCUAUCACCAGAUCACCAUGAUCACUGUGUUGGUGAUCUGCUGCUUCUCUCUCUACAGUCAGUCUGUACGAUGACUUGUCUUUAGCACUUAGUCCUCUUCUGAAACUAAUUGCUCACCGCAACACCUUCUUUAUAUAGGAGAAAGGAAGAAUUCAAAAAUGACAAUCUCUCUCUGUACUUGUCAGCAUUCUCUUGAAAGGCAAAUUCUUCGGGGCACAGUGUGGUGGUCCAGAAAGCAAUUCCAGAAGUUCUCAGUGUACAAAAUCCUGAAGUAUGCCUAUGCUGUCUCGCAGAAGCAGUGGGAAGGUCUCAUAAUGUGUUUAACUCUGCUGCUGGAGUAAUCACUGCUACUUUAAGCUAAACUUGGUCCCAGAGUGGUCAGAAAAGAGAGACUUGAUACUCUGCUAAUGUUUUAUACGCUGAAUGAAGUGUAUAUGCUGUCAAGAAGUCUUUCAUGCCUCAUCUACCAGUAAGUGUACUACAAAGUGCUUUUAAAGGAUUGUCUCACAUUUACUCAAUUGAAUGACCUUAACAAUUGAUUUCAUUAUCUAGGCAAGUUAUUACUCUGACUUGCUCUGGCUUAACUGCAACUCUGGAACCGAUAAUGUGUUCUUAAUUCGUAAUAAUGUUUUAACCUUGUGGUUGCUGCAGCCAGUCAAGUAAGAAACAGGAGACCAGGAGAAAUCGCCCAUGGGAAAUUUAAGAACUCUUUUGUUCAUUAGCGUUUUAAAGCUACAUUGAAAUGUGUACAAUGGCUGUAGAGAUUUAUUAAUUUGAUUGCAUGUUAGGAAGUAAGUGUUCAGCUCCACUCUUAUCAAAGUGUUCUCUCUUCUGAAGCUUCUAUUACCCUGUCACACUUGACGUACAGUUAAGUUGAGCAGACUGUGCUGUAACUUGGCAUUAUAUGGAACGUCUUCCUGUGAAUUGCUGAACAGCUGGACAUAUCAUGGACUUUCCUGAAAUCUAAUCUUGUUAUAAUCUUGCAUUCUAUACUGGUUAAUUGCUCUAUUAGUGAUAUCUUGUGGUGAUUUUCCAAAGUUCUCACCACAGUUUUAUAUUUGGUUUCAAAGAAAGUUCUUGGAUGCUGAACAGAAUCCGGUGUAGGUUUUUGUAAAGCGCUGCCUAAGAGGUUUGAGACCAACAUAACCUGCUCAUAGCCAAACUCUUUAGGUUAGAGAAACUCCAACUUAAGUAUUGUGUGCCCUACCAUCUGUGUUCUGAUCAUCAUUGAAUGGAGAGGAAGGGAAGCCAGCAAACAACUGAGGUCAUCCCAUUAGGAAAAGACUGGCCAUUGCUGAUCUAAGCUAUGCUGCAAUAAACCUGCUGUGGAUCAGCGAAGAAGGAUGUAGGCAGCUUUUUUUACUUAUGUAUGGAGGAAUAAUUAAAGUGAAUGUUACGGGAAAGAGGAAAGCAAUUGCUUGCUGUGAUAUGUCAGUUUACAUUGCUCUUUCUUAAUUCUUAAAGUUUUGGUUGGAGGGGCAAUGUGGUUUUUUCCCCCUCAACUUUCUUGCCUUUAUAUCUCUAUGCUACAGAAUUUCUCUUUUUAAUGAAAAGCAUAAAGAGAAUCGAAAGUAAAGGAUCAUCUUGAUCCUUAUUUCAUAACUUUCCUUAACAGAUCUUAUUUAUACCCUCAGUGUGCUUGAGGAAAAGAGCUUCAGCCCUUCAAGUACAGAGAUAAAUUCAUGUUUGUAUUUCUUUUGGAGAGGCCCUUCACUAGAGAUUUGUCCUGUGGAGAAUACUCAUAAUGAAAGAAAGUUUUUUGAGUCUGUCCUGUCCAUAGCUCAAGGAAAUUUAGUCUUUAUUAUCUUUCUUAUCUUUAGAUAAGAAAGCAUCCACCAAAAUACAUUAAUUGUAUGCUUCAGUCACAUUUUAAAGCCAUUAUUUGAGCAGAGUUUUGCAUCCUGAGAACACUCCAUGCUGAAAUGGGAUCUGGCUGAUUUUUGACAAAGUGACCAGAAUUCAUACAUGUGAGACUGCUAUAAAAUUUGAUUAUAUAUCAGAGGAAAAGGGAAAUAUUUCAGUAGGAAAGGGCUUCUGGACUUCAACUGGAAUGGGCAAUUAAAUUGGCCUUUAAACAUUUGUAGAGAUAGUGAGUAUUAAAAUGACACUGAAUUCAUUAGUGGACUUUUCUGCCUAGUAUGGUUCUUCUUUCAUGCUACAAACUUCUUUCAGGCUUAUGGUCUAGCUGGAAAUCAUUGUUUUAUAGUAAUCUUACAGAUCAAACUUUAAAAUCUUGAGGUAUAAAGAUUACUGAUGUAAGUCCUAGCACUGCAGGACUUGAUCUUUUCUAUUCCUGGUACAGCUCCAUCCUUUUAUAAAUGCUUGCUUUGGGCUCUAUUAUUCUUGUAGGGGAAUUCACCAAAUCAAAGCAUUGUUGAGAUGUCUGAAAAUGGCACUAAUGUUCUUGAAUUUACCUGAUAUAGCUUUGAAGUACCAGGAAAGCAAACACCAUACAUAUCUUCUCUAAUCUUUUACUGUCGAUAUCUGCUGAACCUGUAGAGUUUCAUGAUUAACUGCUUCUUACUUUUUACAGCAAUUAAUAAGCUGAUUAUCAAGCAAAGAGAGUGGGAGGAAAAAUGACCGCUCUUUUGUGAGACCUACAAAAUGACAGCAUUCUUAGUGUUGCAUCAGAUGUGAUAUAUUUUGAAUAUAAUGAAAUUAUAUGAGCAGAUAAAGAAAUUAUGAAUAGAUAAAUGCUAAUGAAAUUAUGCUAAUGAAAUUAUGAAGAGACUGAAAUAGAGACACAUCUCCUUGGGGUUACCACCGUCAUCCAUGUGUGUGGAUCAGUACAUUUCAAUAAUGGGUGAAUGAAGCUUUUUUCCCUAUGAUGAAAAAAACAUUGGCUUUUUUUUAUCCAGUGCAUUAGAACAAUGUAAGGUAGAUAUGAUGAUUAAAUAUCUAAAUGGAAAUAUCUCUUCAUGGUUUGAAUUUUCCUGGUCUGCCUGUUCUUAGUGUUAUCUUCUGUAGUUUUGUUAUUACUAUUAACCCAGAUUUGUGAAAAUCUGAAUGUCAUAUAAAUGUUACUCAACAUAUCCUCAAAACAAGUAUUUAUUUUGAGGUGUGUUAUUCUGUUGUCUUUAUUGGGACCUAAAUUUUCAGAACGUUUACGACUUGUGAAAGUCACAAUCUUUGGCAGAUGAGGGAAGAGAACAAAACUCCACAUUCUGCAUCACAAUUUCUGUCCAGUCACUGCAUAUUUAAGGACAUUCACAUAUUGCUUAUUUAGCAAAUUGUCUUUCCAAUUCUAUCAUUAAAAGUAGUGUUUAGAGCAUCUCUCCUAUUGUAAGUGCUGAAUCUUUCUGAACUGUAAUUCUGAAAAGCAGCAAGGCAACUUGUAAGUCCAUUGGUAAUCGUGACAAAAGGUUUUCCAAGAGAGAAUACAGCGUUUCAUUUUUUCAUGGAGAGUUCUAAAAUUGAAGGUAGUUUUGUGAUGUCAUAUGUUUUGAGACAAAGAAUUACAUGAAUGAAUUGUAUGUUUGUUUGUUGUUUCAUUUAUUUUAUUAUUUGAGCUGACAUUGGUAAGAAAUUACAUAGGGAAGCACCUGGCUGGUUCUGUGCACUGGACACAGAAAUAAGCAAUAUUUUAAAGUGUUCCCUAAGUUUACUAAACAGAUUUGAAAUAGUGGCUUACAUAGAACUGGAGAAUGGUUGUUAACUGACUGGAAAAGUACUAGAAAAUGUGUAUGAUGUUUUCAUUUAAUUUCUCUUUGAUGCUGGAAUAUUUAAAAUACCAGUGGAAAAACUGAAGAUUUCAGAGUAGUUCUGACGUUUCAUUUGAUGCAAAAUAAAUAAAUACUGGAAAAAGUACUACAAAAGAAUCAAAGAAUAAUAGAGCAAAUUGUAUAACCUUCAUCUAGGUAAGCAGGCAUGAGAGAAAUGUGAGCAGUUAAGCACUGCAACCAGGCUGCCCAGGUCGACUGUGGAAAUUCUGCAGGUAUUCAGAGAGUGAGCAACCAGAGCUAUCUUUGCAGUGGGCUUUGCUUUGAUCGGGGGUUAGGCUGGAUGACUUAGAGUCAUCUAAAAGAGACUUUCAGCUGAAACCAUACUGUGAAUCCGUGAGGGUAAAACCCAGUAUUGCUGAAAGUCUUUUGCACAGUUUGAUUUUGACUUCACUAGUGCCAAAUACAGUCACACAAAGCCCCCAGCAGUUCUGCUGAACUAGCCCCUGGACUAGUCAGCAGUUCUCAGAACCCUCCCAUGAAACAUGGAGCGGUCCUCUGUGCACUGAGCUGGCUGUACGAGCCAGGUUGGUUAUAAGCCAGCAUAUCAGCACUCUGAAGAUCAGUCCCCAUAAAGAGUCAACAUAAUUAUUUGGUUGUGACCCACUUGAGCACUCUUCCAGAAGAAAUGCAUUAAAUAUUCCUCAUUAACUAGGAUGCAUAUCAUGAUCCAAUUCACUUUUUUCUUAGAGAGUUAGGCUUGUAAUUGGCUUGUUUCAGGAAUUGCAGCAGCAAUUUAAUAUAGGUAGAGGUUCAUUAGUACUUUGCUAAUUGGCAUCAGUAAGUUUAAGAAUCAAGAAAAUAUACUGGAAAGUAAUGUAUCUGAACUAGUUUUCUGACCUAAUUCCUGUUACUAGAUAACAUUAGACUCUGAAAAUGUUGGCACCAAACUAGGUAGUAUGUAACCACUAGCUGUUAAUUGCCUGUGGAGGAAUGAGGUAGCGCAGAGAGGUAGCAAACUUUGAAUAUUUUCAGUGUUAUUCUUAAAAAAGUCAAAUAAUCUUACAAGGAAAGACAAGCUGAUGAGUCUCUGUACUGCUAUUAAGUAAAAGAAAUUGAUCAAAGGUUUUAAACAAGUUUCAGAGGGAUUUUCUGGACCAUCAGCAACCAUAGCUGACUAAUACCUCUUCCUAUUCAUUAUAGCCUUAGAGGCUGUGUUCAUGAACACAUUUAUUUUCAAAUAAAUACAUAUAGUUGAGUAACUAAAAUAGUUUCUCUAGUGGUGCUUCUGUAAAAGUGUCUCUACUGGCCAGCAAAUCAGAAAGAAAAUUAACACUAAAACCCAAUAUGCUUCCAGUGUGUUAUCUUAGGAGCUCCCCCAGAGCCUCCCAGCAGGGGUAGCUGACCUGUUUGGCUAGGCAGGACGUGUGUUUCCUCCACACAGUAACCCAGCCAUGUAUGUGAUUUUACAAGAUUAAUGCUCCUGUAAAAAGUAACAGAAGAGAGUUAAACAGAGCAGUAUUGGUUGAUUUUGCUUGAAUCCUCUCUCCACUAGUUGAAGAUGUUUACCAUGAUGUUGCCGGCUAGAGACAGUGACUCAUUUCACUCUUGUGCUGCCGUAUAACAGCUCUCUAAACAGAAAUAGCUUUUUCUUUUGAUGGCUGGCUGAAAGAUAACUCUCAGUUGAUGCAAAUCACUGCAAUGCUAUUGUGAUAUGUACCAUCUUUGAAGAAGUAGUAAGGUAAAGGACAGCCAAUUAUGCUGAAUAAUUGCUACUUUAAAUUGAAAGCAAAUGGAGGAUGAUGAGAAAGGAGGAAUAUCAUUGCCAACUGUUGCCUCUUUUGUUCCUCCUCCUGUCACUCUAUGAUUUCUAUUUUCCUGAACAUCUGGUAUUCUGUUUGAUGACGGUUUGCUUUGCUUUUACCCUCAUCUCACACAGUAUCUUAUAUUUGAGUAUGUAAGGAGAAGAUAGCACUGUUUAAAAAUUAAAUUGAAUCUAAAGUAGUUUGAAUAUGUAUUUUUAAAAACAUAAGCAAGUUCAUGCUUUGGAACCAGGUGUCCUUAAAGGAUGCUUAUUCCUGUGAUCACCAUCUAAUGGAUAAUGUUGCAGAUAUUUGCUAUGACCUGAAAUAGUAAGCAUGAUUUCUUAACAAAUAAAACAAUAUAAAGGGCAGGAAUCAUGUGAAAUAAAUAUGGUUUAUUAUUUAGUGUUUUUUUCAAAAGCUUCUGUAGUUCCAUAUUCAUGUCCUCUUGUGCAAAUAUGCAGAUGAGAUGACAACACUUGAUUGGGAUUGUCAAGUGUUGUUCUUUUUUUCCCAAAGAAAAUCUUUUAGAGCUUUCUUUUCUUCUCCAAAGCUUUCUUCUGUUUUUAUCAUAACAACAGUGAAUUAAGAAAGAAUAUUUCUUCACAAUUUGAACAGGUGCUUACUGUCUGACGUUAGCAUCUUUAUUGGUUCACAUGCACAUUUUUACUACUGCCAAACAGGUUCUACAGAUCUGAGUAUCCAGUACUGCUGAGUAUCCAACUGUAUCUGUUCUUGUAUCUUAACUGUAUCUUAAGAAAAGGGAUAUAUUAUAUUUAUUUCUUGGAAAUAAUUGAAGCAGUGUAAGAGAGACAAGGAUACUUAUUUGAUUAGAGGUGUAUACAGGCACUACCGAACACCAGCAUUAGUAACCUGCAAGCUAGUACUGUCCUUUUGGGAAAUGAAUAGUAAGAAAAAGCUUUCAGGGAAAAAGCUUUCAAAAAAAGCUUGCCUUGUGGCCUCCAGUCUUACUUAGUCUAACUCAACCUCAUGAACUGGAUGUGAAUUCAGUGGAAUGAAUUAUUAGUUUUAAGAAGAUGUGAAGCUUUUUUCUUCUUCCUGCCCUUGUUGUAAGCUUUAGCACUGCUUCAUAGAUGUGUGCAUUUCAGCCUCCAUGAGCUCUUAACUUUAUGCUGCUCGGUGCCCUCAUCAAAUAUGGAAUAACAUCCUGUCACUCUUUCCCAGAACUGCAGCCACCAGUUAUUAGGAUAAUAUUUACAGUCUUAACAGCCUUUCUAAUGCUGACAGGCACUUAGCAUUAUUCCUCUAAGUUCAGAAAUGGCUUUCUCUCUUCUAGCAAAUUAUUCCUGUUUACUUCCUGGUAGUUUUCUCUCCUCCCUGGCAUGCUGGUGCACAUGUGAACCUCUUGAACUUUCUUUAUUCUGGAUAUGUGUGUGGGUAGAGCAUAAACAAUUCUUAGGGGUAUGGGGAGAAGGUUUAUCAAAUAUACUGUGCACCACGUAUACUUAUAUGUAGAAAUGCAUUUUGGUUUAAAAUAUCAACAAUGAAUUAAGUCAGGUGCUACAAUGUAAAAGGUUUACCACUGUUCUUUUGUGAGAGAUCUAAUUAGGAUGUCUUAGUUGGUCCCAGGGUCCUAAAGGAGCUGGCUGAGGUGGUUGCCCAGGCAGACCUAGGCAGAAAUGUGCAGCAAUUGCUUUCAAUAGAGAACUUUUCCAGUUAGAAACAUACAACCAGUAUCUGUUCAGUGUAUAUUAUUCUCUUCAAUUCACAGAAGAACCCGAGGGUGGAACAAUCUAGUGACGCUAUUUUUUUUCAGAGGAAUACUCCCUGAGUGACCAUCUAGAUGUAAUCAUCCAUACAGAUUUCCUGGGUGGCAUGACUUCUGAACAUAGCUCUUUGUAAACACUGGCUAAAAUAUACCUAAAAUAUACCAGAUGUGGUAUUAUUUCAUCUAGAGCCAAUGGUGAAUAUAGUUGUGAUAAUGUGACAUUGUUGACUACAAAUAAAUGUGUGUAGUUGCAGUGUUGUUCUGAUUGUGUUAAAUUUCACUGAGUCACUCAUGAAAGUUCUCUUAGCUCAAUCUUUGCAAUUUUAAAACAAAGUCGAUGGGCCCUGUGUUUUUCCUUUGCAAAGGAAGCAAACACACAUUUUUUGUUAGUCAUGAAGUGAAUUCAUUAGAAAGAAGACUGAAAUGAAAAUGGUCCAAAGAGUAAUUUUGAUUAAAAAAUCAUCCAAGAAGUAUGUAAUUUACAUUGUUGUAGAAUUCAGUAGAGAAUAAUUUCUACUUUGAAUUAUCUGAUGGUGUUGUACAUAUGGAAUGCCGUUCCCUGUAAGAUUUUGUCAAAACCAUACUAAAACCAAUAAGAAGAGUCUCUCAAUGUGACGGGUGCCCUAGGAACUGCUGCCACCUUGUCAUGCCAUGGCAUGCAGAACAACAAAUUACUACCUCUAGCCAGCAGUGAGGAAAAGAGCAACCUCUGCAGGUCAUGGGAAGUGGGGUGUUUCUUUGCUGCAAUUUUGCAGGGUAACAAAUGGUUCACUGAAGGUCAGAUAACCUCUGAGCUCAGAACUGUGCAGCAGAACCUCCCGUGCAUAAACUGUUUGUGAAGCUCCUUACGGCAUUUUGGAGCGAGCUGGCUUGUUUAUCCAUGUUGGCAGCUGUCACACCAACAUGCAUUUGGUGUGGGUUGCUUUUUCAUUUUGAAUUUGUUAAUAUUUCAUAUUUGAGAAGUUGUUUAACGGCAGCAUAACAGAAAGAAAGGUGCUUUAAGUUUUCAGUAAAUGAAUGAUGCCUAGCUAAAAUGUACUUUCUGAGGAGCUUUCUGAUUUCUUCUGAGAGGUUGAAAUAAGCUGGAUGAUUAAUAGAGAGCUGUAGUACUUGGAAUUUCUGAGGAGUUAGACUGGUACACAAAAUAUUUCAUUCUGAUGUGGCUUUAAGUUGUUUUCCACUGAUCAGUGGUAUAGUUUACUCUGGAAAUACAGUCACUUCCUUAAGCAGAAGAGAUUGUGUAAAACAAAGAUGCAACAGUAUUAAGGUGAAGUGUUGUCUCAGUUGAAAAGAAACAAACCCUCUGUCAGGACGGUGCCAUCUUAACUAAAGUAUGCUUAUAUUCUUCUCCUGUCUUCCUGUUCAUUAUUUUUUGUCUGGAAUACCCAGAUGGAUUAACAGUUCUGCAUUGAUUUAUAAGUAUAAAUAUGUCCCUACAUCAUUUCAAAUUAUUCUUAACACUUAACUCAUCAGAAAUGUAAUUCCUAUGUCUAUAAAAGAGAUAGCCGAUGUAGCUGUGCUUGAAGUGUUUUUUUGUUUUGUUUUUUUUUUGAAAGCCUUGAUCAAAAAAGUCCCAGGAAGGACUAUUAGAGAGAACCUUUGCUAUCCAAAACUGAAGCUACAAAAAUGUAAGUUUUGUUAUUGAAAUGCCUAGUUCUUAUCUCACCUCAGUUUUACAGUUUUUAAUGUAAUGUUGUUAAACAAACAAACAAAACAACAAAACAAAACAAAAAACCAACCAGUGCAUUCUGGUGAAGGAGUAUUUCACCAGAAAUUUAAUGUAGAAAGGGAUGCAAAAUUACCAUCUAGACAUGGAAGAAAUACUAACUGAAAGUGGUUAACUGCCCAUUUCUGCCAUUACUUUUUCUGGAGUCUUAAAGUGCUUAAAUAUACUCAAGUUUACCUGCUUUUUCUUUCAUGCUUGCUUAGAUCACUUAAUAUUAAAUAUUGUUAGCACCAAUGGGAAUUUAGGUACCAAGCAGAUAAUACAUCCCACUGGACUCUGCAUCCGAAUUUUUAACCAGUAUUUAAUAAAUUUUAUUUCUAUUUAUUUUUUAUGAUACCUUCUAUUAUUAAUAGUAUUCUCAAAAUAAGCUAAGGAGAUGUAAUAGAUUUGCAUAGUUAUGAAGCCUGAUAAGUUAUUAAUGGAGAUGGCAUGCAGAAUGAAGAAUUGGUGUUAAUUCUGCUAGAAGUUAGCUGAGAGUACGUGCUGCUCCUCAGUGCCUGUUUUAGGGCUCUUUUUUCCAUCAGGUUUCAGUGAAAUGAAAAGGUGGGGAAUAUUUCACUUAACAAAAGUUUCUUGAAUGUAGUACUUUGUAAAGUAAUUGUCAGACAAUUUUGGCAUUUAAAUAACUGAUAUUUGAUUGUAAAAUUGUUGAAACACAAGACAUAGUGAAAUCCUGGUUAGAAGAACUGCUGGCUGAUGUUCUGGAUGUAGGUGAGUAGUGAAGUGGAAGUAGGUGAUCUAAAGCUGGAAUGGAUUCAGACCUGGAAUUAUUGUUUAGGUUGCAAAAGGGAAUAAAUAAUCUUUGACAGACAUAUUUGAUUUAUUUUUUGGUAGCUCUUGAUAAUCAGUUGUUAACCAUUACUAGAAGAGUUUCUUAGUUUUCUGUACAGUAGAGAGAAUCAGAUACAUAAAUUACGUAGUAUUUGGAACAGAAAUGUGGGUUCAAUUUUUAAUGGUGCAUGUUAUAGAUUGCCACUGGAGACUGCUAAUUUUCAUUCUAAUCUAUCUCUGCAUACUUGGGCAACAGUCACAUUCAUUCCUGAAUUCACAAGCAGUAGAAAAUACAGGUAUGGCUUUGCCUGAAAUUCACAUGAAACCAUCUCUUCUACUCAACAUCAGCAUCUACCUGAAAAGGGUUCUUUCAGUUAGAAAAGAAAAUAAUGCUUUGACCUCUUUCUCCUUCCCCUUUAAUUGCCAGCAUCUGUGGAUAUCCAGCUAUGUGCUGUAGAAGCUUCCAUAACUGAAAUAGCUCUAGAAACAAGAAUAGCCUACAGAGAUACUAAAGCAAAGCUAGGAAUAUUUGUAUUUCUUCUUCUCCACGUAACAGAUGUUGUGAAUUCUUCUCUCAGCUAUGCAGGUUAAAGUCUCAGGCUGUUUGAGGACCUUGAAAUGUGCUGAUUUAAAUGGUUGUUUUGUUUAAUAAUAUGGUGCCACUCCAGUUCAUUUCUCUGCUUUUUCUAAAAAGAUGAAGGUGAUUGAAAUUAGAUUAAAUUGUAAAGCUUUCUGAGUUGUCACAACCAAUUGCCUGUCCUUGUGCUGUUAUAGCUCUGGACAUACAUGUCAUCCUGAAUGCUUCAAUUGGAGAUAAACAUGUUUCUGAUAACAGGCAGUUUACACUUUGGCUACACCAAUCUCACUUUAACAGUAGACUGCAAACAAUGAUACAUUUCUACAUUAUUUUUAUUGCACCAGAGGGAGGGAAAAGACUCUUGCAUUAUUUAUUUUCUCUGGAACCUUAGCAUCCAUACUGUGAAUUAAAACUAUCAUUUGAUAUAGACACAUAAUUUCAUUACAAUCCACAUUUUCAGAAAGACUUAUUUUAUAUGAAGGAAAUCACAAAUCAGAGAACAGUGUGGUGCGAGAGAUGUGACGUGCAUGUUUGCUUCUCACUGUUACAGUUUGCACUAUGAAAGAACACAGUACUUUUCAGUCAGCUGAGCACACAACCACCAGUGAAACAGAAGCGACAGCCUUUUGUAAAUACUAUUUUGAAGAAACAGUGUCAUUCUUUGCCUCCAAGUUCCAAACUUGCUGGAUGACUGUGAUUGCACUGGUGACAGUGACAUACCUUCUUACUGAGAAGAAUCCAACCCUAUGCAUGCUGAGAUCUUGACUCUUGGUUAUCCAACUGGAGGAAAUAUUUCUCCGUACUGGAAGAUAACUAGUCUCAAGUUUGCAAAAGUAGGUAGCUAGGACCAGGUUAUGCUACAUUUAGUAAUUGUGCACUUCUGUACAUCUCCAUUUCUUACUUGAUAAAUCAGUUAAUUUUCAAAGAUUAAUUUUUUUUUUUCCAAUUGCUGUCAUGGCCUUGAUGAGGAUGAUUUUUUGUAAAACUUCUAGUUCUUUUUGAAAAAUCAGCGCAGGAAGUUUUGAGAAAAGGAAAGUAACUGCAUACAUUGAUUUUUAAAAGGUAUAGUGAGAGUUCAUUUAGGAAGGAACUUUAUAAUAGAGGCAGAAGCUCUACGCUGAAAUGAAGAGAGUUAAAUUUAGAAAGGCUUAGAUUAUUUUCCUUUCUAAAAAGAGCAUUUUGUUUUUACUUUUAAUGGGGAAGGUCAUCUUCUUUGAUUCUUUGUUAUGCAGUAAAAGGUUUCUUGUUCCAAAUGAAGUACAGAAGAGAUCACAGAGUAUCACAGAGCGGUUUAUUGCAUAGAACAGAUCCAGUGUGCUUGGAAGGAAAAGUAGGAUGUUAGAUAAUUUGGACCUAAUCGGAAAUUUCAAGAGAGAUCUGAUAGAGCUUGAAAGAGUAAAUUGCAGGAUAUGUACACUUCUUAGGAAAUAUACCUAUCUUCAUCUGGAUUGAUUUUUCCCUUAUUUCCUCUUUGGUAACUAACCAGCUGAUUUACUCAGACCUUCUAUUUCAGUUUUCUUUGCGUUCCUUAAGUCUUCCUGAAGACCAAAUUAACAAAAGAAUUCAAAGCAAGUCUUUGAAUCAGAUCAUAGAAUCAGAGAAUCAGUAGAUUGGAAAAGACCCUUAAGUUCAAGUCCAAGCAUGCUUGUAGGCAAACAGCAGUCAUGUAGUCCAUCGUGAUGCUGACUUUUGUCAGAUGAACUCAAACCAACUGUAGAACCAACCAUCUGCUCGGUUCAGACUCUCUUCCUGUUCCAUCCACUGCUGGCUCAUGUCCAGCUUCUCGUCCACCAGGACCCCCAAGUCCUUCUGAAGGAGAUUUUCCCCCAGUCUGUAGAAACACCUGGGAUUACCCCGGCAUAAGUGCAACACCUUGCCCUUGGCCUUGUUGAACCUCAUUAGGUUCACAUGAGCCCACUUCUCCAGCC